CAGGGGCAUACAAAUAAUGUGGUUUUAUAAAUAGGUAGUUUGCGUUUGAAAUUAUCCUUGAUGCUUUAUCGCCUUGAUGACAUGAUGCCCUGU
This is a non-coding RNA of Morus notabilis, 93 nucleotides long. Lineage: Eukaryota; Viridiplantae; Streptophyta; Magnoliopsida; Rosales; Moraceae. The record is from Rfam.